AUUGAACGCUGGCGGCAUGCCUUACACAUGCAAGUCGAACGGCAGCACGGGGCAACCUGGUGGCGAGUGGCGAACGGGUGAGUAAUGCAUCGGAACGUGCCAUUGAGUGGGGGAUAACGUAGCGAAAGUUGCGCUAAUACCGCAUAUUCUGUGAGCAGGAAAGCAGGGGACCGCAAGGCCUUGCGCUCUUUGAGCGGCCGAUGUCAGAUUAGCUAGUUGGUGAGGUAAAGGCUCACCAAGGCGACGAUCCGUAGCUGGUCUGAGAGGAUGAUCAGCCACACCGGAACUGAGACACGGUCCGGACUCCUACGGGAGGCAGCAGUGGGGAAUAUUGCGCAAUGGGCGAAAGCCUGACGCAGCCAUACCGCGUGUGUGAAGAAGGCC
RNAcentral lists this ribosomal RNA (384 nucleotides) under uncultured bacterium. Its description in RNAcentral is "bacterial SSU rRNA". It matches the Rfam family "Bacterial small subunit ribosomal RNA", at positions 30 to 416 of the family's 1533-position model. The record is from RNAcentral.